UGACUNGAGUGCAGAAGGGGAGAGUGGAAUUCCUUGUGUAGCGGUGAAAUGCGUAGAUAUAUGGAGGAACACCAGUGGCGAAAGCGGCUCUCUGGUCUGUCACUGACGCUGAGGCUCGAAAGCGUGGGUAGCGAACAGGAUUAGAUACCCUGGUAGUNCACGCCGUAAACGAUGAGUGCUAGGUGUUAGGCCCUUUCCGGGGCUUAGUGCCGGAGCUAACGCAAUAAGCACUCCGCCUGGGGAGUACGACCGCAAGGUUGAAACUCAAAGGAAUUGACGGGGGCCCGCACAAGCGGUGGAGCAUGUGGUUUAAUUCGAAGCAACGCGAAGAACCUUACCAGGUCUUGACAUCCCGAUGCUAUUCUUAGAGAUAGGAAGUUACUUCGGUACAUCGGAGACAGGUGGUGCAUGGUUGUCGUCAGCUCGUGUCGUGAGAUGUUGGGUUAAGUCCCGCAACGAGCGCAACCCUUAUUGUUAGUUGCCAUCAUUAAGUUGGGCACUCUAGCGAGACUGCCGGUAAUAAACCGGAGGAAGGUGGGGAUGACGUCAAAUCAUCAUGCCCCUUAUGACCUGGGCUACACACGUGCUACAAUGGUCGGUACAACGAGUUGCGAGCCGGUGACGGCAAGCUAAUCUCUGAAAGCCGAUCUCAGUUCGGAUUGGAGGCUGCAACUCGCCUCCAUGAAGUCGGAAUCGCUAGUAAUCGCGGAUCAGCACGCCGCGGUGAAUACGUUCCCGGGCCUUGUACACACCGCCCGUCACACCACGAGAGUUUGUAACACCCGAAGUCGGUGAGGUANCCUUUUAGGG
RNAcentral lists this ribosomal RNA (810 nucleotides) under uncultured bacterium. RNAcentral describes it as "bacterial SSU rRNA". It matches the Rfam family "Bacterial small subunit ribosomal RNA", at positions 638 to 1447 of the family's 1533-position model. The record is from RNAcentral.